Molecule: small nucleolar RNA, 86 nt
Filed under: Laccaria amethystina LaAM-08-1
Lineage: Eukaryota; Fungi; Basidiomycota; Agaricomycetes; Agaricales; Hydnangiaceae
Description: Small nucleolar RNA snR60/Z15/Z230/Z193/J17
Rfam family: Small nucleolar RNA snR60/Z15/Z230/Z193/J17
About the family: The members of this family belong to the C/D class of snoRNAs which contain the C (UGAUGA) and D (CUGA) box motifs. Most of the members of the box C/D family function in directing site-specific 2'-O-methylation of substrate RNAs. The family includes the yeast snoRNA snR60 (also known as Z15) and the corresponding human guide snoRNA U80 (SNORD80).
Source: Rfam by way of RNAcentral
CCUACGAUGAUACACAAUUUGCAUAGUUCACACUGAAACUACUGUGUUGACAAACAAGCAUCUUAACGUCUUUCGCUCCUAUCUGA